Molecule: non-coding RNA, 125 nt
Organism: Triticum aestivum (bread wheat)
Lineage: Eukaryota; Viridiplantae; Streptophyta; Magnoliopsida; Poales; Poaceae
Source: Rfam
GUACUACUUCCUCCGUCCGAAAAAACUUGUCCCUCAAAUGAAUGUAUGUAGCACUAAGUUACUAUCAGAUACAUCCAUUUAAAAGAAAACAUGGGGCAAGCUUUUUCGGACGGAGGAAGUAUUGU